RNAcentral lists this ribosomal RNA (657 nucleotides) under Escherichia coli. RNAcentral describes it as "partial 23S ribosomal RNA". It matches the Rfam family "Bacterial large subunit ribosomal RNA", at positions 536 to 1194 of the family's 2925-position model. Lineage: Bacteria; Pseudomonadati; Pseudomonadota; Gammaproteobacteria; Enterobacterales; Enterobacteriaceae. The record is from RNAcentral.
GAGUGAAAAAGAACCUGAAACCGUGUACGUACAAGCAGUGGGAGCACGCUUAGGCGUGUGACUGCGUACCUUUUGUAUAAUGGGUCAGCGACUUAUAUUCUGUAGCAAGGUUAACCGAAUAGGGGAGCCGAAGGGAAACCGAGUCUUAACUGGGCGUUAAGUUGCAGGGUAUAGACCCGAAACCCGGUGAUCUAGCCAUGGGCAGGUUGAAGGUUGGGUAACACUAACUGGAGGACCGAACCGACUAAUGUUGAAAAAUUAGCGGAUGACUUGUGGCUGGGGGUGAAAGGCCAAUCAAACCGGGAGAUAGCUGGUUCUCCCCGAAAGCUAUUUAGGUAGCGCCUCGUGAAUUCAUCUCCGGGGGUAGAGCACUGUUUCGGCAAGGGGGUCAUCCCGACUUACCAACCCGAUGCAAACUGCGAAUACCGGAGAAUGUUAUCACGGGAGACACACGGCGGGUGCUAACGUCCGUCGUGAAGAGGGAAACAACCCAGACCGCCAGCUAAGGUCCCAAAGUCAUGGUUAAGUGGGAAACGAUGUGGGAAGGCCCAGACAGCCAGGAUGUUGGCUUAGAAGCAGCCAUCAUUUAAAGAAAGCGUAAUAGCUCACUGGUCGAGUCGGCCUGCGCGGAAGAUGUAACGGGGCUAAACCAUGCAC